RNAcentral lists this ribosomal RNA (714 nucleotides) under Geobacillus sp. T6. RNAcentral describes it as "bacterial LSU rRNA". It matches the Rfam family "Bacterial large subunit ribosomal RNA", at positions 2214 to 2925 of the family's 2925-position model. The record is from RNAcentral. Lineage: Bacteria; Bacillati; Bacillota; Bacilli; Caryophanales; Anoxybacillaceae.
UUGAAAUUCUAACCCGCACCCCUUAGCGGGGUGGGAGACAGUGUCAGGCGGGCAGUUUGACUGGGGCGGUCGCCUCCCAAAAGGUAACGGAGGCGCCCAAAGGUUCCCUCAGAAUGGUUGGAAAUCAUUCGGAGAGUGCAAAGGCACAAGGGAGCUUGACUGCGAGACGGACAGGUCGAGCAGGGACGAAAGUCGGGCUUAGUGAUCCGGUGGUUCCGCAUGGAAGGGCCAUCGCUCAACGGAUAAAAGCUACCCCGGGGAUAACAGGCUGAUCUCCCCCAAGAGUCCACAUCGACGGGGAGGUUUGGCACCUCGAUGUCGGCUCAUCGCAUCCUGGGGCUGUAGUCGGUCCCAAGGGUUGGGCUGUUCGCCCAUUAAAGCGGUACGCGAGCUGGGUUCAGAACGUCGUGAGACAGUUCGGUCCCUAUCCGUCGCGGGCGGAGGAAAUUUGAGAGGAGCUGUCCUUAGUACGAGAGGACCGGGAUGGACGCACCGCUGGUGUACCAGUUGUCCCGCCAGGGGCACCGCUGGGUAGCUAUGUGCGGACGGGAUAAGCGCUGAAAGCAUCUAAGCGUGAAGCCCCCCUCAAGAUGAGAUUUCCCACCGCGUUAGGCGGGUAAGAUCCCUCGAAGAUGACGAGGUCGAUAGGUCCGAGGUGGAAGCGUGGCGACACGUGGAGCUGACGGAUACUAAUCGAUCGAGGGCUUAACCUAG